UACGAAAGGGGCUAGCGUUGUUCGGAUUUACUGGGCGUAAAGCGCACGUAGGCGGAUCUUUAAGUCAGAGGUGAAAUCCCAAGGCUCAACCUUGGAACUGCCUUUGAUACUGGGGAUCUUGAGUCCGGGAGAGGUGAGUGGAACUGCGAGUGUAGAGGUGAAAUUCGUAGAUAUUCGCAAGAACACCAGUGGCGAAGGCGGCUCACUGGCCCGGUACUGACGCUGAGGUGCGAAAGCGUGGGGAGCAAACAGG
RNAcentral lists this ribosomal RNA (253 nucleotides) under uncultured bacterium. Its description in RNAcentral is "partial 16S ribosomal RNA". It matches the Rfam family "Bacterial small subunit ribosomal RNA", at positions 524 to 776 of the family's 1533-position model. The record is from RNAcentral.